AUUAUUUUCUUAUGGGCAUCCUAUUUGAGACUUUCUGUAUAGCUUGAUUAAAGCCUCAAUUCUUACAAUAUCCAACCUAACCAAUGUUGAUAACAAACAAUUUGUUUGAUUCUCAGACUUCUUAAAGGUCAUGUGGAUUGAGCUUACUUUGAUACCAGAUGCGUUCUAACUCAUUUGUUGGGAGACUUCAGGCAAUCUCAAGCUGCUUGUUGACGAUUCCGUUAUAAACCCAAGUCAGGUUGUCCUCAGAGACUGACUUGUUUGUUAGGAAUGGGGCAAGAUCCCUGAAAAAAAGCACACACACACAAAAAGAAAGGGGGGCCAAAUCAACCUGAUUCAAUAACCUUACAGAUGCUUUGAAAAUGAUCUGAACCUGACCGCAUUACUAAUUAGAUCUAUUCUGAGCCAAACCUGAUCCAUUGACAAGCCCAGCUGCAACCUAGUUAGGGUUAUCAAGUCCAGGUCACUUACAGUUCGCUGAGAGUACUUAGUGACGUAACAGCGGAUGAGCGCAUUUACGGCAGGAGCGAAGGGGACCAAGCAAUCGAGCGAGCAGCCAAGCAAGAAGGGGUGGAGGCAAUGAGCUUCCCCUUGUCUCGCUGCCACCGCUCACCCCAACCCCCCUUGCCCUUCCGACCUCCGCCGAUAACAACUAAGAGAACGCCGACUUCUCCAUUCCACCGCCCAAAGGCGGUCGCCUCCGUCUCCUCCUCCUCCUCCGAUAAAUCCUGGCGAUGCCUCCAUAAGCUACUUCUCCAAGCGACGGCCGGAGCCCUCUCCUUCUCUCUCCUCGCUUCUCCUUUCCGUUCCCUCGCGGAGGCGGCGGGUCCCCCAGCUGUCCAGAUCCCGCCGCCACCGUCGGAACUCUGCCACGACUGGGCGGAGGAGGAGGAGGUGCCACCGGAGUCGAUCACGAACGAGGCCCUCGUGGAGGAGGCCUGGGAUGUCGUCAACGAGAGCUUCCUCGGCGACGCCGUCAGCCGUUCCUGGUCUCCCGAGAAAUGGCUGAAAAAAAAGCAAGAUUUUCUGCACAAAAGUAUCCAAACAAGAUCUAGAGCGCACAAUGUCAUUCAAAAGAUGCUGGCCAGCCUAGGUGACCCAUAUACACGGUUCCUUUCUCCUUCAGAAUUCUCAAAGAUGUCCAAGUAUGAUGUUACUGGGAUUGGAAUAAAUCUGAGGGAAGUUCCUGAUGACAAUGGUGCUGUCAAAUUGAAGGUGUUAGGGAUCAUAUUAGAUGGUCCUGCUCAUUCUGCUGGCGUGAGACAGGGGGAUGAGCUCUUAUCAGUUAAUGGUGUGAAUGUAAGAGGAAGAUCAGCAUUUGAUGUAUCCUCAAUGCUACAGGGUCCAAAGGAAACAUUUGUGACUAUAGAGGUUAAACAUGGAAACUGUGGCCCAAUCCAGUCAAUAAAGGUCCAGAGGCAACUUGUUGCUAGGACUCCAGUAUUCUAUCGUCUGGAGAAAAUGGAAAAUGGCGAUGUUUCAGUUGGAUAUAUACACAUAAAAGAGUUUAAUGCAUUGGCAAAAAGAGAUUUGGUUAUUGCACUGAAACAUCUUCUUGAUUCUGGUGCCUCUUAUGUUGUUUUGGAUCUUAGGGAUAAUCUUGGUGGACUAGUGCAGGCUGGGAUUGAAGUUGCUAAGCUUUUCUUGAAGAAAGGAGAAACAGUCACUUAUACUGUUGGCAGGGAUCCCCACAUUCAAAAAAGUAUUGUUGCGGAUGCUGCACCUUUUGCUACCACUCCUCUUAUUUUUGUAGUGCAGGUCCUUGUGAAUAAGAGGACUGCAAGCGCAAGCGAAAUAGUUGCCACAGCACUUCAUGAUAACUGCAAAGCAGUUCUAGUGGGAGAAAGGACUUACGGCAAGGGUCUAAUACAAUCUGUUUUUGAGCUUCACGAUGGAUCUGGUGUGGUUGUCACUAUAGGGAAGUAUGUGACACCAAAUCACAUGGACAUCAAUGGAAAUGGAGUAGAACCUGAUUUUCCACGCCUCCCAGCUCUGAGUGAAGUCAGAAAUUAUCUUUCACAUUGCCAAACUCCGUUGAUGGGAUAAAUACAGGCGCUCAUGUGACUCCAUGUCUCUCCACAAGUCAAAUUUAUAACAUGAGUGGGGUGCAUAUGCUAUUUGAAUUCAAACAAUUAUAGGAAAUUGUAUGCACAUCUAUUGGGCAGAGAAAACCAGUCACUUGAGAUUGUGAGAGUAUCACAAAAAAAGUGAGGAUCCAUCCAUUUCCUCAUCCAGGUGCAUUGUUUGGAUACAGCUACUCUGGUUGGCCACAACUGACAAGUCUCUCAGCAACGUUUGAAUCUGAGAUGAGAGUGGUCGUCGUAGCAGCUUCUUGUUUGCUAUCAGAUGCUGCAAAUGUGUUAUAGCUGCAAUUUUCAAGCCGCACCGUAAAUACGCUCGAGGGCCGUAAGCCGUGGAUGCGCUCUUUCCAGUUCCUGUGUAUUGUUUGAGCACAGUUUGCUUUACAGUAAGAAAUCACAGGAGUAUCUGUUGGGCCCCAACAUUAUAAAUUUUCAGGCUUUGGCGAUCAUUUUCUGGAUGCAGAUCAUUCUUCAAGUUUGUUUGUUUCGAUGUAAUGACAUUCAAAUUAGUUGAUUGAUUUGGAAUAAAGGGAAGUUCCCCUUACACCCUUU
Elaeis guineensis (African oil palm) is the source of this 2633-nucleotide RNA transcript. It is a transcript of the gene named carboxyl-terminal-processing peptidase 1, chloroplastic, with no coding region annotated. The record is from RefSeq and is a predicted model, not a curated record. NCBI's taxonomy places the organism in Eukaryota, Viridiplantae, Streptophyta, Magnoliopsida, Arecales, Arecaceae.